AACGCACAUUGCGCCCAUUAGUAUUCUAGUGGGCAUGCCUGUUCGAGCGUCAUUUCAACCCCUAAGCAUAGCUUAGUGUUGGGAAUCUACUGAGCGGAGCUACCCUGUAGCUACCCUGUAGUUCCUAAAAACCAACGGCGGAUUUAUAGUGUCCUCUGAGCGUAGUAAAUUUUUAUCUCGCUUUUGUUAGGUGCUGUAACUCUAGCCGCUAAACCCCCUAUUUUUCUAUGGUUGACCUCGGAUCAGGUAGGAAUACCCGCUGAACUUAA
Molecule: unclassified non-coding RNA, 269 nt
Filed under: Dothideomycetes sp.
Lineage: Eukaryota; Fungi; Ascomycota; Dothideomycetes
Also listed under: 1 other name
Description: partial contains 5.8S ribosomal RNA, internal transcribed spacer 2, and large subunit ribosomal RNA
Source: RNAcentral